This is a long non-coding RNA of Anolis carolinensis (green anole), 1785 nucleotides long. RefSeq lists it as uncharacterized. The record is from RefSeq and is a predicted model, not a curated record. Lineage: Eukaryota; Metazoa; Chordata; Lepidosauria; Squamata; Anolidae. The transcript has 3 exons.
AUGGUUUCAUUCUCCACUUGGUCAUGGAAAUCCAUUGUGUGAUCUUGGGUGGUUCACACUCUCUCAGUCUCAGAAAACCCUGUAAUAGGUUUCUCUAUCACAAGUUGGAAAACACUUCAAGGCACACAACAACAAUAGACAGUUUUCUCAUCCUGAGAUUCUUAACUGAGGCCCUCCCACACAGUCCUACAUUCCAAAAUAUCAAGGCAGAAAAUCCCACAAAAUCUGCUUUAUCUGAGUCCACACCGCCAUAUAUUACAGUUCAAAGCAGAUUCUGGGAUAUAGGGCUGUGUGGAAGGGACCCUCAGGAGAGAAGAAGGUUCAGGAUCUGAAAUCUAGCAGCCCUCAGUGUGGACCUAUGUUAGCUGAAAAGUAAUUUGUUGCAUGUAACUGCACCAAACGUAACUCAUUACCUCCAAGCUCUGGUGGUUCUCAGAAGCUGCCUUGAAGAAAACCAUUUAUAAGCCAGCCCGCCUGCUUUACUGAAGCCCUGCAGCUGCUCUUUCUUCUCUCUUUUGCUCGCAGUAAAACGGAUGGAGAGGCCAAGGGAAAGGCGCAGAUGCUCUGCUCGUUUGUUUUGGCUCUGGAAGCAAAAUUGUCUAACAAUUGGAGAGGGCCAAGCAGAGGUUAGGAGUAAUGGCACAGAAGGGACAGGACGAUUUAUCCACAAAGUCAGUGCUGGGCAGAGGGAUAGCUUUAUCUCUGCAAGGCCCCACAGCUGGCUGAUGGAGAGUUGCUCUUGUUCUCCUGAUAAGCAUGCACGCUGCCUGCAUAAUUCUCUUAGAGGGUUCCUUUGUGGUUCAGCAGCCGAUUUCUGCAAACUUUCUGCAUUGGGAUUUGCCAUUUCCUUCCUCUGAGACCGAGAGAGUGUGACAUGCCCAAAGUCACCAUGUCUGAGUGGGAAUUCAAAUCCUGGUCCCCUGGAGUCCCAGUCCAUCGUUCAAACCACUACACCAUUCAGACUCUCUUUGAAGAGUUUCAGCGUCAGAGAAGCACCAGCUCUGGAUGUUGUUAUAAGAUUGGCUGUCACUGAGGAUGUACUUAUUCUUCAAGAAUGAAGCUUGAUCUUCUUGAUGAAAUAUGAAGAUUGAUGAGAAAAUGUAUUUUUUUUACUGAAAAGGACCUCUAAUGUUACUUUUUAAAAAGUGUUUUUAAAAGGUUACACUACCAUGGUCUAUACAGCCCUUACGUUUGUCUACUUAUACUGAAAUAAACUUGAUUUGUCUCCCCAAAUAUAUAUAUAUUCCACCCCAUAAUUUACACUGUGCGUUUCAUAACUAGGAGCAGAGCUUGGAAGUUCCUUUUUUGGACUGUACUUUGGUUUGGGUCCAAGUUACCUACAGGAUCACCUUCUCCUUCACUAUUCACCCUUUAUGAUACUGAGAUCUUCUGGGGGACGCUUACUCAAACCAACCAGAACCCAGUUGGCGACUGUCACUCAGAGGAUCUUUUCACCAGCCACCUCACGACUGUGGAAUGUCUAGUCGGAAGAGCUCCCACAGCUAAAUGAGCUGUCAACAUUUAAGACACAACUGGAGACCCAACUCUUCUGGCAGGCCUACCCAGUCAACCUGAAAACAUGAGUUUUAUGUUUGUGUUCUAUAGCUAGCUACUGUAUUUUGAUCAUCACAGUAUGUGUUUUGGUGUAUGUAUUUUAUAGUGGUGUGUUUUGAUAUACCCUAUGUAUUUUUUGUAUGCAUUUUAUGUUGUGUUUUGACUGAGUUGUACCUCACAUUGAGCUAUGAGGAGAAGUGGGUAAUAAAUAAAAUGUAUGGUUAUAAAGCA